RNAcentral lists this long non-coding RNA (212 nucleotides) under Hordeum vulgare. Its description in RNAcentral is "long non-coding RNA (HVUL_LNC019214)". The record is from RNAcentral. Lineage: Eukaryota; Viridiplantae; Streptophyta; Magnoliopsida; Poales; Poaceae.
UCUUCUUCUACCUCCCACUAAUGGAGGAAGAUGCAGUCUCAUCGGCGCUUGCCGAGGUUACCGGCCACCGAAUCGGGCGCCCGAGCCACCGCAGGGUUUAGCAGGUCGGGCGCAUAGACUGGUGCAACCCACACACGGCGGGGAGGGCUAGAACGAGGAGGUUUGCGGCCGGGGCACACACACUGGAUGGCGAUGGUGGCCAGGGAACCUGC